Small nuclear RNA from Nomascus leucogenys (northern white-cheeked gibbon), 106 nucleotides. The record is from Ensembl. Lineage: Eukaryota; Metazoa; Chordata; Mammalia; Primates; Hylobatidae.
AAAUAUUUUUCUUUCUUCAGUAAUAAAUUAAGGAAUGAUACAGAGAAGAUCAGCAUGGCCCCUGUGCAAGGAUGACAUGUGAAUUAGUCUGUUCUCACAUUGCUAU